ACUCCAGUCACUGUUGUACAGGCAGGACAGCAUGUUUCUGCCUCAGGACCUUUGCACUUACUAUUGCCUUUGCCUGGAACAAUCUUUUCCCAGAUCCCUACAGUGCUUUCUCACUCAUUUUGCUAAGGUUCUUUUCUACCCUCCACCAACCAAUACCCCCAGGCUCCCCAUCUCCCUUCCCUCGCUUUGCAUAUCUCAGUGGCUUUUAUCACCAUCUAAUAUAGGCUACAUGCUUACCUGCUAAUUUGUUUGUCUAUCUCUUCCAUUGUAGAUGCUAUGAAGUUAGAGACUUUUUUUUUUAAGUCUCAGCUCAGGACUUCUCUGGUGGUCCAGUGUUUAAGAAUCUGCCUUCCAAUGCAAGGAAGCUUAUUUGGGGGGCCGACAGGAGAAUGAUCGCAACUCUGUCCAUGGUGGGAGCAGAUGUCAAAGGAGGCUUCCUGGAGGAGGUGACACACCCGAGCAAGACUUGAAAGAUAAAUAGAGCCCACUUUAGAGAUAACAGUGAGUCACCAAAGGACCAAGGGAUUUGCCAAGGUCAAGAAGAACAUUGAGGAAACAGCAUCAUGGUGCAUACAGAAGGCACGGAUAGACAGAGCACUUGCCCGUGAGACUGUCUCGUUUUUGUUGAGCUGCUUUUGGGAGGAAGUCCUUGCAACCUGGAGCCCUUUCCUACCACAGAGGAGAUUUCUGCUGGCUUCCUUGGAUCCUGGCAGCCUGGAGGGGCCUCUAGCUUUAUGCUUAAAGUAAAGGGUGAGUUGGGUGAUGGACACAAAGAAUACAGCAGAGGAAGAGGGGUUGCCUGCCUGCAUUGAGCUGGGGGCUUUCAAAUAGCUUCAUUUGGCUCACUGGCUGGUUGAGGGGAGGCCUGGAUUUCUGAUCACUGCAGGGACUGGAAAGCAAAGCUGGGCUUGAGGGCCACUGUGAAAAUGGACCAAGAGCCAGGAAAGACGUGGUUGCUGUGUCCCAUUGCUUCAUCAGCAGGAUGCUAAGUGGAUAGAGAAAAGCCUGGGAUUGGGCGUGGAGCACACUGGGUCCUGGGUUCAAGUGCUGUAUGACCCUGUACAUUGCAGAGCAGUGGUCGUGAAUGCAGGCUCUGGAGCCAGACUGCCUUGGUUCACAUCCCAGCUUCCCCACUCAAUAGAUCUGUGGGACUUCCCUCGUAGUUCAGCGGUAAAGAAUCUGCCCACCGACGCAGGGGACUCGGAUUCUAUCCCUGGUAUGGGAAGAUUCCACAGACCGCAGAGCAACUAUGCCUUGGAGCCUGAAUGUCUUAACAAGAGAAGCUGCAGCAAUGAGAAGCCUUCACACCGCAACUAGAGAGUAGCUGCAGCUCACCACAACUAGGGAAAAGCCGGUAUGCAGCAAUGAAGACUCAGCACAGCCAAGCACAAAUGAAUAAGAUAAAAUAAAUAGAUCUGUAGCCUCGGCUUCACCUCUCUGAGCCUGUUUUCUUAUCAGUAAAAUGGGGGAACAGUAGUUCCCACCCAGAGAUUUUUGGAAGCCUUAUACGAAUGAAUCAUGUGAUGUACUUAGGAAAAUGCCCAGCAAUAUAGUAAGUGCUCAAUAAAUGCAAUCUAUUA
This is a long non-coding RNA of Bubalus bubalis (water buffalo), 1580 nucleotides long. RefSeq lists it as uncharacterized. NCBI's taxonomy places the organism in Eukaryota, Metazoa, Chordata, Mammalia, Artiodactyla, Bovidae. The record is from RefSeq and is a predicted model, not a curated record. The transcript is spliced from 3 exons.